Molecule: ribosomal RNA, 253 nt
Filed under: uncultured bacterium
Lineage: Bacteria
Description: partial 16S ribosomal RNA
Rfam family: Bacterial small subunit ribosomal RNA
Source: RNAcentral
GACAGAGGGUGCAAACGUUGUUCGGAAUUACUGGGCGUAAAGCGCGUGUAGGCGGCAGCGCAAGUCGGAUGUGAAAUCCCAUGGCUCAACCAUGGAAGUGCACCCGAAACUGCGUCGCUAGAGUCCUGGAGAGGAAGGUGGAAUGCUUGGUGUAGAGGUGAAAUUCGUAGAUAUUGGGAAGAACACCGGUGGCGAAGGCGGCGCUCUGGACCGAGACUGACGCUGAGGCGCGAAAGCGUGGGGAGCAAACAGG